GACGAACGCUGGCGGCGUGCUUAACACAUGCAAGUCGAGCGGAGCGGCGAACGGGUGCGUAACGCGUGAGUAACUGCCCCCCUCUCUGGGAUAACAGUUGGAAACGGCUGCUAAUACCGGAUAGUGGGGGAUGACUGGCCCCCUAUCAGCUUGUUGGUGGGGUAGUGGCCUCCCACGGCGACGCCGGGUAGCCGGCCUGGGAGGGCGACCGGCCACAGUGGGCUGAGAUACGGCGCAAACUCCUACGGGGGGCAGCAGGGGGGAAUAUUGCACAAUGGGGGAAACCCUGAGGCAGCAACGCCGCGUGCGGGAUGACGGCCUUCGGGUUGUAAACCGCGUUCAGCCAUGACGCGGUAGUGGCAGAAGAAGCACCGGCUAACUACGUGCCAGCAGCCGCGGUAAUUC
This 405-nucleotide ribosomal RNA is filed under the name uncultured bacterium. RNAcentral describes it as "partial 16S ribosomal RNA". It matches the Rfam family "Bacterial small subunit ribosomal RNA", at positions 28 to 526 of the family's 1533-position model. The record is from RNAcentral.